UACGGAGGGUGCUAGCGUUGUUCGGAAUUACUGGGCGUAAAGGGCGCGUAGGCGGCCGUUUGCGUCGGAUGUGAAAGCCCGGGGCUCAACCUCGGAACGGCAUUCGCUACGGGACGGCUGGAGACCGGGAGAGGAGAGUGGAAUAGCCAGUGUAGAGGUGAAAUUCGUAGAUAUUGGCUGGAACACCGGUGGCGAAAGCGGCUCUCUGGCCCGGUUCUGACGCUGAGGCGCGAAAGCGUGGGGAGCAAACAGG
This 253-nucleotide ribosomal RNA is filed under the name uncultured bacterium. RNAcentral describes it as "partial 16S ribosomal RNA". It matches the Rfam family "Bacterial small subunit ribosomal RNA", at positions 524 to 776 of the family's 1533-position model. The record is from RNAcentral.